RNAcentral lists this ribosomal RNA (255 nucleotides) under uncultured bacterium. RNAcentral's name for it is "partial 16S ribosomal RNA". It matches the Rfam family "Bacterial small subunit ribosomal RNA", at positions 334 to 606 of the family's 1533-position model. The record is from RNAcentral.
UUUACCUACGGGGGGCAGCAGUGGGGGAUAUUGCACAAUGGGGGAAACCCUGAUGCAGCGACGCCGCGUGAGUGAAGAAGUAUUUCGGUACGUAAACUUCUAUCAGCAGGGAAGAAAAUGACGGUACCUGACCAAGAAGCCCCGGCUAACUACGUGCCAGCAGCCGCGGUAAUACGUAGGGGGCAAGCGUUAUCCGGAUUUACUGGGCGUAAAGGGAGCGUAGACGGCCGUGCAAGUCUGAUGUGAAAACCCGGG